This 440-nucleotide ribosomal RNA is filed under the name uncultured bacterium. RNAcentral's name for it is "partial 16S ribosomal RNA". It matches the Rfam family "Bacterial small subunit ribosomal RNA", at positions 338 to 795 of the family's 1533-position model. The record is from RNAcentral.
CCUACGGGAGGCAGCAGUGGGGAAUAUUGCACAAUGGGGGAAACCCUGAUGCAGCGACGCCGCGUGAGGGAUGAAGUAUCUCGGUAUGUAAAGCUCUAUCAGCAGGGAAGAAAAUGACGGUACCUGACUAAGAAGCACCGGCUAACUACGUGCCAGCAGCCGCGGUAACACGUAGGGGGCAAGCGUUAUCCGGAUUUACUGGGUGUUAAGGGAGCGUAGACGGUCGGGCAAGUCAGAUGUGAAAUCCAGGGGCUCAACCCCGGGACUGCAUUGGGAACUGUGUGGCUAGAGUGUCGGAGCGGUAGGCGGAAUUCCUAGUGUAGCGGUGAAAUGCGUAGAGAUUAGGCAGAACACCAGUGGCGAAGGCGGCUUGCUGGACGAUGACUGACGUUGAGGCUCGAAAGCGUGGGGAGCAAACAGGAUUAGAUACCCUUGUAGUC